UGCGCAUUGUCUUGACGUUGUUUGCGUAGUUGUCUGUAUGUUUGCAUAUAUGUAUGUUUGUAUAUUUUUGAAUGCGAAGAUGAAGCAGAAGUGGAAGAGCAAGAAGAAGCACAACAGCAUGCCAAAUAACUAGCGCAGACGUAAAAGGGGCAAGAGAGAGCGAGAGAGGGAGAGCUCACCAGUUAACAUGACACGACCAACGUCAACAACAACAACGACAGCAACAACAAGUCAACAGAACAAACCGGCACAUUCAACUUAAGCACACACACACACGAAGAGGAAUAAGAUGAUGAUGAUGAAGAGGGACAAGCGACUGAGACGCCAGUCUGAUGCGUGCAAAAGAGAGGGCAACAUGCGAAACGAAAAACCAAACGAAAGCGUACAAAUAAAUAAAGCAGAAGGCACACCGAAAGAAAAAUGUCUUGUAAUUAAAAUGAACUGAAGUAGCCCAUGAAACUAACAGUUACAUUUUAAACAUGAUUAUCGAAAUUUGAAGAAAAUACAAAAAAAUAUCGCACAUCCCUGAACAGUGCACAAUAAUAAUUUCAUCCCCACACUUAAAUACACAUGUCAGUUCGUUUCGAGUGUUGUUGUUAAUUUUUGUUGAUGUGUUUUUAUUUAGAUUUUUUAUUAUCGCGCGUUUUUUCUUUUUUUUUUAUUUCGGCUUAUCACUUGUCCUACCUCCCGCUUUAGCCUCUCUCCCUCUCUCACUCACUCUCUCUCUCGCUCCCCCCGCCUACCCGUUUUCACCAACAGCUUAAGUUGAUGUGAUCUUUGUUCACCGCGCGCUCAAUUCACAGUUAAGCCAUAUCAACCAAGAUUGUUGGACGCUGGGUUGUGUGUGUGUGUGUUGGGGGGGGGGGGUGUAGAAUUCCGUUGGAGAGGGAGGAGGGAGAGCAAUAAACCUAACCUGAAUCUACAACAACUGACUGUGCUGAUGGUUGACAUUGCAAGAGAGUAGCGGAAAGCGUGAGAUGGGAAGGGCAGAGAAGAAAUGAAACGAAUAAAUAAAGAAAAAUGAGAAGAAAAAAGAGACGGAGAAAGAAAGAUGGUUGUCGGAGGAGAAGCCGAAUAAGCGCAAAGUAGCGCAACUUGCGGUGACAACAAAAGCAACAACAAUAACAAAAACGACAACUAGAACAACAAUCGACGGUUACAGCAACAAUGAGGUACAGUGAGCACCAGACACGUGACUCUUUCAAAACAUGUACAUCCAUAUGUGCAUUGUUUUAAGCUAACUAUACCAUAAAACAAAUUAAGAAAAGCGAAGAAAAAUUAAAUAAAUAUUUUUUUU
Drosophila melanogaster (fruit fly) is the source of this 1297-nucleotide non-coding RNA. NCBI's taxonomy places the organism in Eukaryota, Metazoa, Arthropoda, Insecta, Diptera, Drosophilidae. The record is from Ensembl.